UCCUUAUAUGGUUACUUAAAUAUCUAUCCAACGUUCUUAAUAUGUAUAUUAAGUACAAAUACAUACAUGCUUGAGCAUAUAUUAGAUUCCAAUAUAAAUUAAGAAUCUUCUAUAUUUCUUAAAUUCAAAAGUUGCUUUUAAGACAAUGACUUAGACAACUUAUUUUCUUUAGCUACAAGCUUUUCGCCUGGUAUAGUAUCUUUCAUGCCAAAAGUUUUGAAUACUUUAUUGAUAUACUUCUUUUGUUAUAAUUCAGGAACAUAUCUUGAAUUCCUGAUACAAAAUAAGUAUAUCAUCAGUGGUAAGUAAUUUUUUUUACCAAUAUAAUACCAAGAUCAUAUUCUUAAUCCUACUGAAUUUGUGAUAUAUACACAAUCAUCAAAAGCUUUUAUCUCAAAUACCAAAUGAGAGAAUACUUAAUGAAAUUUGUGUAAUCAUUGACGAACCAUAUUCUUUGGAUCUUUGUAUCAUCAAAGCUUAUUUGAGUUUAUACAUAGAUUUUCCUAAUUUGCAAACCAUAUUCUUUGAAUCUUUGGACACAAAGUUUUCUUGUUGCACAGAUAACUUUUGUCAUCAAUAUCUAUCCUUUGAAGUUGUUGUCGAGGAACAAAUUUGGAGGCGCCUUCAAGGUUUAGCUCAAACUUUUUGCUGCCUCUCACUCCACUCCAUCACUCUCGCUCUCCUUCUUCGCUCUACUGUCCUGCUCAACCUACUUGGGUCGUCAGGCCACCAGCCCCAUCGUACUAGCCCGAGACAACCUCACCCCAGCCUACAUCUUUCCUCUCUUCCUGGUUGCCUACAAAUCAUUAUCGAAAUGCUCUGCCUUCCAUCCUUCGCGUGAGCUCUCUGCCCAGUUCCGACCCACCGUUUUCGGCCGCAGACAGUGGAUAUCAACACCAGUAACCACCACGAAGAGAACGAGCGAAGAUAGACUUAUGUCUUGAUUUAGAAGAAGAGGAAGGCCAAGGAAGCAGCCGAAAGGAAUUGUAAAAAGAGGUUCUCACCAACAAAAGCUCAUUUUAUGAAGGCCAAACAAGAAUGAAGCUGAGGAUGAUUAAAAUGAUAACUGGGACAAUAAUCAGGUAGAGCUUCCAUAUUGAUCUGCGUGGAAAUAAAAUAAGCACCUGAAAAUCAAGCCAAAAUAAUAGUUGAACUGUUGACCAAAUACACAUUCAGAUUAGCCCAGAACCUUUAGGCUUUUGUACUAAGCUGUUAGUUAUUUUUAAAACUGUCUCUUUGGCAAAAGAUAAUUCGAGCUUUAUCCUUUGAUAUGAAAAGUGAGAACUUUGAAGAUUACAAAUCAUACACUAAUUUCUUUACAUAAAUAAGAUUCCUUUACAUGCACCAGACAAAUUAAGACUUUUGAUUACAAACUUACUAUAAUUUUGGGUUUACUUCUUGACUACCAAUGUUUUCAUCCUAAUUUCUAUUAACAAUUUAGUCAUACGUUUGGGAUGAGUUGUGUCAAUAUCUUAACAAAAAUAGGGCCUUUCUAAACAUGUCAAUAUCACGUUGCAACUAACUCAGAAUGCAGUCCCUUGCAAAAGCAGUCUAAGUCCUCUGGAGAAAACCAGUUCCUUUCCAU
Molecule: long non-coding RNA, 1585 nt
Organism: Cannabis sativa
Lineage: Eukaryota; Viridiplantae; Streptophyta; Magnoliopsida; Rosales; Cannabaceae
Exons: 2
Source: RefSeq, a predicted model, not a curated record